Molecule: ribosomal RNA, 495 nt
Filed under: uncultured bacterium
Lineage: Bacteria
Description: partial 16S ribosomal RNA
Rfam family: Bacterial small subunit ribosomal RNA
Source: RNAcentral
GACGAACGCUGGCGGCGUGCCUAAUACAUGCAAGUCGAACGCUGAAGGAGGAGCUUGCUUCUCCGGAUGAGUUGCGAACGGGUGAGUAACGCGUAGGUAACCUGCCUGGUAGCGGGGGAUAACUAUUGGAAACGAUAGCUAAUACCGCAUAAGAGUAGAUGUCGCAUGACAUUUGCUUAAAAGGUGCAACUGCACCACUACCAGAUGGACCUGCGUUGUAUUAGCUAGUUGGUGAGGUAACGGCUCACCAAGGCAACGAUACAUAGCCGACCUGAGAGGGUGAUCGGCCACACUGGGACUGAGACACGGCCCAGACUCCUACGGGAGGCAGCAGUAGGGAAUCUUCGGCAAUGGACGGAAGUCUGACCGAGCAACGCCGCGUGAGUGAAGAAGGGUUUCGGAUCGUAAAGCUCUGUUGUAAGAGAAGAACGAGUGUGAGAGUGGAAAGUUCACACUGUGACGGUAGCUUACCAGAAAGGGACGGCUAACUACGUG